This 514-nucleotide ribosomal RNA is filed under the name uncultured bacterium. RNAcentral describes it as "partial 16S ribosomal RNA". The record is from RNAcentral.
GUAGUUAGCCGGGGCUUCCUCCUUGGCUACCGUCACUUUCUUCGUCACCAAGGACAGAGGUUUACAACCCGAAAGCCUUCUUCCCUCACGCGGCGUUGCUGGGUCAGGCUUGCGCCCAUUGCCCAAUAUUCCCCACUGCUGCCUCCCGUAGGAGUCUGGACCGUGUCUCAGUUCCAGUGUGGCCGAUCAGCCUCUCAGCUCGGCUACCCAUCGUCGACUUGGUGGGCCGUUACCCCGCCAACUAUCUAAUGGGACGCGAGCCCCUCCCAAAGCGGAUUUCUCCUUUGACCCCUCCCCGAUGUCGGGCUGUGGUCUUAUGCGGUAUUAGCACUUGUUUCCAGGUGUUAUCCCCCUCUUUGGGUCAGGUUGCUCACGCGUUACUCACCCGUUCGCCACUAGCUACACAACCGAAAUCGUGUAGCCCGUUCGACUUGCAUGUGUUAGGCACGCCGCCAGCGUUCGUCCUGAGCCAUAUCAACACUCACUACGUAGACGGCGUGCGACGAGGCGACAG